CCUACGGGAGGCAGCAGUGGGGAAUCUUGCGCAAUGGGCGAAAGCCUGACGCAGCAACGCCGCGUGCGGGAAGAAGGCCCUAGGGUUGUAAACCGCUUUCAGUAGGAACGAAAAUAACGGUACCUGCAGAAGAAGGUGCGGCCAACUACGUGCCAGCAGCCGCGGUGACACGUAGGCACCAAGCGUUGUCCGGAUUUAUUGGGCGUAAAGAGCUCGUAGGCGGUUCAGUAAGUCGGGUGUGAAAACUCUGGGCUUAACCCAGAGCCGCCACUCGAUACUGCUGUGACUUGAGUUCGGUAGGGGAGCAGGGAAUUCCUAGUGUAGCGGUGAAAUGCGCAGAUAUUAGGAGGAACACCGGUGGCGAAGGCGCUGCUCUGGGCCGAUACUGACGCUGAGGAGCGAAAAGCGUGGGUAGCAAACAGGAUUAGAUACCCUGGUAGUCCACGCCGUAAACGUUGGGCACUAGGUGUGGGUUCCAACCAACGGAAUCCGCGCCGUCGCUAACGCAUUAAGUGCCCCGCCUGGGGAGUACGGCGGCAACGCUAAAACUUAAAAGGAAAUUAGACGGCNGAGANGCGACGACGACACAGGAGAG
RNAcentral lists this ribosomal RNA (595 nucleotides) under uncultured bacterium. RNAcentral's name for it is "bacterial SSU rRNA". It matches the Rfam family "Bacterial small subunit ribosomal RNA", at positions 338 to 945 of the family's 1533-position model. The record is from RNAcentral.